UUGCUCCCGGAACAGUGGCGGACGGGUGAGUAACACGUGAGCAACCUGCCCCUGUCAGGGGGACAACCCGCCGAAAGGCGGGCUAAACCCGCGUACAUGCCACCGGGGCAUCCCGGAGGCAGGAAAGGCUUCGGCCGGACAGAGAUGGGCAUGCGGCGCAUUAGGCAGUAGGCGGGGUAACGGCCCACCUAACCGACGAUGCGUGGGGGUUCUGAGAGGAAGGUCCCCCACACUGGUACUGAGACACGGACCAGACUCCUACGGGAGGCAGCAG
This 274-nucleotide ribosomal RNA is filed under the name uncultured bacterium. RNAcentral describes it as "partial 16S ribosomal RNA". It matches the Rfam family "Bacterial small subunit ribosomal RNA", at positions 80 to 354 of the family's 1533-position model. The record is from RNAcentral.